UAGUCAUAUGCUUGUCUCAAAGAUUAAGCCAUGCAUGUCUAAGCACAGCUGGUAACAGUGAAGCCGCGAAUAGCUCAUUACAACAGCCGUUGUUUCUUGGAUCUACUCUCUACUUGGAUAACUGUGGUAAUUCUAGAGCUAAUACAUGCAUCCAGACCCGACGCAAGGACGGUCGCAUUUAUUAGAACAAAACCAUCCGGUCCCCGGACCGUACUUUGGUGACUCUGAAUAACUGAGCGAAUCACACGGUCUCGCACCGGUGAUGUAUCUUUCAAGUGUCUGCCUUAUCAACUUUCGAUGGUAGUUUAUGUGCCUACCAUGGUUGUAACGGGUAACGGAGAAUCAGGGUUUGACUCCGGAGAGGGAGCCUGAGAAACGGCUACCACUUCUAAGGAAGGCAGCAGGCGCGCAAAUUACCCAUUCUCGGUACGAGGAGGUAGUGACGAAAAAUACCAAGCCGAGGCUCAUUGAGUUUCGGCAUUGGAAUGAGAACAAUCCAAAUCUUUUGACGAGGAUCUAGU
This 521-nucleotide ribosomal RNA is filed under the name uncultured eukaryote. RNAcentral describes it as "SSU rRNA". It matches the Rfam family "Eukaryotic small subunit ribosomal RNA", at positions 21 to 549 of the family's 1831-position model. The record is from RNAcentral.